RNAcentral lists this transfer RNA (72 nucleotides) under Aphaniotis fusca (Dusky earless agama). RNAcentral's name for it is "tRNA-Gln". Lineage: Eukaryota; Metazoa; Chordata; Lepidosauria; Squamata; Agamidae. The record is from RNAcentral.
UCCAUUUAACGUAACCUAGGAAGAAAGGACUUGAACCUCUAUUUAAGAACCCAAAACUCUUCGUAUAUCCAA